RNAcentral lists this unclassified non-coding RNA (345 nucleotides) under uncultured fungus. Its description in RNAcentral is "sequence contains ITS1". The stretch from base 1 to 100 matches the Rfam family "5.8S ribosomal RNA", at positions 50 to 154 of the family's 154-position model. The record is from RNAcentral. Lineage: Eukaryota; Fungi.
GAAAUGCGAUACGUAAUGUGAAUUGCAGAAUUCCGUGAAUCAUUGAAUCUUUGAACGCAACUUGCACUCACUACACAUGAGUAUGCCUGUUUGAGUACCUAUAAACACCUCCAACCGAUUUGGUUGAAAUUUGGGCGGUUCAGCCCCUGGGCUGAUUGCCUCAAAGUCAUAACUGGCUAGCUGCGUUAGUGACGAACGUGGACAAAGUGAAUGAAGGGUGCGCCCACGUCCUUUGGCUGCGCCUAGUCGGUCAGCGAGCAAAGUAGCCUGUCACAGGGCAUAGAUUGCCGCAAGGCAUUCUGAACCUCAGGUCUCAAAUCAGGUAGGAAGACCCGCUGAACUUAA